RNAcentral lists this ribosomal RNA (364 nucleotides) under uncultured Geobacillus sp. RNAcentral's name for it is "bacterial SSU rRNA". It matches the Rfam family "Bacterial small subunit ribosomal RNA", at positions 1017 to 1382 of the family's 1533-position model. The record is from RNAcentral. Lineage: Bacteria; Bacillati; Bacillota; Bacilli; Caryophanales; Anoxybacillaceae.
UUCGGGGGGACAGGGUGACAGGUGGUGCAUGGUUGUCGUCAGCUCGUGUCGUGAGAUGUUGGGUUAAGUCCCGCAACGAGCGCAACCCUCGCCUCUAGUUGCCAGCAUUCGGUUGGGCACUCUAGAGGGACUGCCGGCGACAAGUCGGAGGAAGGUGGGGAUGACGUCAAAUCAUCAUGCCCCUUAUGACCUGGGCUACACACGUGCUACAAUGGGCGGUACAAAGGGCUGCGAACCCGCGAGGGGGAGCGAAUCCCAAAAAGCCGCUCUCAGUUCGGAUUGCAGGCUGCAACUCGCCUGCAUGAAGCCGGAAUCGCUAGUAAUCGCGGAUCAGCAUGCCGCGGUGAAUACGUUCCCGGGCCUU